AAUUCUAAGAAAGUAAUUAAAAUAAAGAUAUAAUUGUAUAUGUAAUGCACACAUACAGGGAUUAUAUAUAUUCUAUGUGAAGUGAAGUCACUCAAUCUUGUCUGACUCUUUGCGGCCCCACAGACUGUAGCCUACCAGGCUCCUCCGUCCAUGGGAUUUUCAGGCAAUAGUACUGGAGUGGGUUGCCAUUUCCUUCUCCAGGGGAUNNNNNNNNNNNNNNNNNNNNNNNNNNNUCUCCUGCAUUGCAGACAGACCCUUUACCCUCUGAGCCAUCAGGGAAGUCUAUAGUGAAUAUGUUAAGAAUAUGUAUUAGCUGUAUAUAUAGGAUAUAUGUGUGGAAUAUACACAUAUGGAAUUUGUAUGUAUGUGAAAUAUAUAUGUAUGUAUGUGAACAUAUUUAUGUUAAAUGCAUGUAUAUGUGUACAUACAUAAUCUUCAAACGCAUCUAUAUCGGAACCCCAGGUUACAAGUUUACAAACGGAUGCUAUUCUAUUCUUAGCGUAGCAUUGAUUUGAAAUUUGAGUCUCUCUGAUUUUUCCUACUAACAUGGGAUUGUUAACUGAGAAAACCGAAAACCCAGUUUAAAACCUGACCUCAAACCCUCAGGAAAUAGCUUUUCAUUCAGUCCUCCCUGUCUUCAUCACGCUUGUGUGCUUUGAAAAUUAGAAUGCUAAUUUUUUUUAAUUACUUCUAUAUUGCAUUUUGCUUGAUGUGAUAAUGGGGAAAGUAGAAAGAGGAGUUGAAUAAGAACUACUUCUAGACUUACCGUGCAUACCAGAUAAAUCAUUAUCAAUACCAACAAACUCACCAAUAAGGGUCAUUUGUGAAAAAAAAANNNNNNNNNNNNNNNNNNNNNNNNNNNNNNNNNNNNNNNNGCUAAUUGUGAGUCUUUACUCACCAGUGAUUAGCUCUCACAUGGCUGUAGUUACAGAACCAUGUGUUGCCUGGAGUUCCCAAAUUCACUGGCCUUUGUUCUUCCUUUAACAGCUUCCCUGGCAUUUGACAAGCCUUUACUUCAGCCAGCAGUGGUGAUACCAAAGCUUGAAAAACAUCACCCUUCAGAAGUACUCCACCUUCAAGCUGACAACGAACAGACUGAACUGGCAACUGAAAAUCUGAACAAGAGGAGCUGUUACGGCAAAGCAGUUGUGGGCCCUGACAACCACUCAACAACCACAGAGCACGCCAGGGUUAGCGCACUCUCUCGCUAGACGGAGAAACGUGUCAGUCUUCAGAAUGACUUCUUCCCAAACCGAGCAACCUCAGGCUUUCUUAAAUGUGAAGCUUCUGAAGAACUCCUCAUGAAGUUGUGCUAAUGCACAGUGAAGCUCAUUCGUUAAGUCUGCACGAACCUGACAGACAUUAUACUUCAAAUAAUUACUGCCUACUGCGUUACCUUUGUCCUUUGUGAGCUUAAAUUUCACCUGUCAACAGCAGUCACUCUGGAGUGUGAUAUUUGUACAUAUAAAAGUCUCGCCUUGGCAAGUGUGUAGUUGAAAGGUAAGGCCUUAAGCCACGAACUUCUGUACUUUUGUUUGCUUCAUUGAUUGCCUGUUUUUUCCACAGAGGUUUAAGGUUAAUGUUCAUUGUGUGAUUUUUGUGUUUGUUGUAAUUAAAGUAUUUUCUUUUACUAAUGCAAUAUAAAUCACUGUUCAGUUCAGUUCAGUCACUCAGUUGUGUCCAACUCUUCGCAACCCCAUGAAUUGCAGCACACCAGGCUUCCCUGUUCAUCACCAACUCCCGGAGUUCACUCAAAUUCACGUCCAUCGAGUCAGUGA
This 1778-nucleotide long non-coding RNA is filed under the name Capra hircus (goat). RNAcentral's name for it is "lncRNA (ENSCHIG00010019556.1)". The record is from RNAcentral. Lineage: Eukaryota; Metazoa; Chordata; Mammalia; Artiodactyla; Bovidae.